Long non-coding RNA from Heterocephalus glaber (naked mole-rat), 658 nucleotides. The record is from Ensembl. NCBI's taxonomy places the organism in Eukaryota, Metazoa, Chordata, Mammalia, Rodentia, Bathyergidae.
GCCAGCUUUAGCUCAUAGAAGUUUCCUGUUCAUGACCGACACAGUGCCCUGAAGGAACAGUAGUGCAGAGAGUAAAGAAACAGUUAGCUGGCUUUGAUCCAUGGCAAAGGAUCUUGCUCAGUGGGCAUGCAGACUUGGGCUAUUGGCCAUGCAGAGUGAAAGAGAAACUAUGAAUGCAGCAGGAAAUCUGGCAGCACAACUGAAUGGAAUCUCAAGGCUCUCACCCUACUGAAGGGAGAUGCUGUCACGAUGGCACCACUGAAGAAGGGAAAAUCACUUGGCCAGAAAAGAAGCUAGAGUGCAGGGAGGGCCAGUAACGACCCAUUACUAAGCUCCACUCUUCAAGUCCACCACCUAAACACCUCCACACAGAGACCACACUUCCAAUGAAGGAACCCCGGGGAACAAACCAUGUCCGCAUCACAGCAGAGACUUGAAGAGGGCUUUGAACAUGGGUUCCACCACCCGUGACCCCUGCAGACAGUCUUGCCAAUCCAGCUCUGGAUAUGAUGCACCAUCUAGGGCUUUUUUUUUUUUUUUGGUACCGGGGAUUGAACGCGGACCCUUGCGCUUCCGCAGCAGGCUGUGAAACCACUGAGCUAAAUCCCCGGUCCCAACACCAUCUAGUUUUUCUGCCCCUGACCUCAGGCUGUCCAGG